CACCGCGGUUAUACGAGAGGCCCCAGUUGAUGGACACGGCGUAAAGGGUGGUUAAGGUUUAGAAUAAAUAAAGCCAAAAGACCUCUUGGCUGUCAUACGCCCCUGAGUGCCCGAAGCCCGCAUACGAAGGUAGCUUUAAUAUUAACCCACCUGACUCCACGAAAGCUGAGAAA
Molecule: ribosomal RNA, 173 nt
Filed under: Cobitis lebedevi
Lineage: Eukaryota; Metazoa; Chordata; Actinopteri; Cypriniformes; Cobitidae
Description: partial 12S rRNA
Source: RNAcentral